This 206-nucleotide ribosomal RNA is filed under the name uncultured bacterium. RNAcentral describes it as "partial 16S ribosomal RNA". It matches the Rfam family "Bacterial small subunit ribosomal RNA", at positions 568 to 774 of the family's 1533-position model. The record is from RNAcentral.
CGCGUAGGCGGCUUGACAAGUCACUUGUGAAAUCUCUGGGCUUAACCCAGAACGGCCAAGUGAAACUGUCAUGCUAGAGUGCAGAAGGGGCAAUCGGAAUUCUUGGUGUAGCGGUGAAAUGCGUAGAUAUCAAGAGGAACACCUGAGGUGAAGACGGGUUGCUGGGCUGACACUGACGCUGAGGCGCGAAAGCCAGGGAGCAAACG